UACGAAGGGUGCAAGCGUUACUCGGAAUUACUGGGCGUAAAGCGUGCGUAGGCGGUUCGUUAAGUCUGAUGUGAAAGCCCUGGGCUCAACCUGGGAAUGGCAUUGGAUACUGGCGCCCUAGAGUGCGGUAGAGGGUGGCGGAAUUCCCGGUGUAGCAGUGAAAUGCGUAGAUAUCGGGAGGAACAUCCGUGGCGAAGGCGGCCCCCUGGACCAGCACUGACACUGAGGCACGAAAGCGUGGGGAGCAAACAGG
RNAcentral lists this ribosomal RNA (253 nucleotides) under uncultured bacterium. RNAcentral describes it as "partial 16S ribosomal RNA". It matches the Rfam family "Bacterial small subunit ribosomal RNA", at positions 524 to 776 of the family's 1533-position model. The record is from RNAcentral.